GGAAAAGCCCAUGCAGGCUUAAGUACUCUUGCGCCAACCAACCCCUGAGAGCCACGUGGUACUGUGGAUAGGCCACUCUAUGCGGAAGGAAGCAUGCUGAACAGGCGCAGCCAAAUAAGGACUUGUUUUUCACUAAGAGCACUUGCCAUCGGGCUGGUGGAAGGCGGGAGCCAGCGCCAUCUUUAAGGUGCCGCACUACGCAGCUCUCCACAUCUAUUUUUGUUGAACACAUCUUUUCAUUCUGUAAGAUAAAUAUCUUAGAGUAUGACUGCUGGAUUAUAUGCCUAGUGGGUAUUGCUCAGUCACCAUCUCCAACUGCAGCAAAUCCAGCCUGGACUGCCUACAGCCCCUCACCAUCACCUGUUUCAGUUCAUGUUGUUCAACUUCUACCUUACCAGUGGCCACACUGAUUUACCCAGGGACUUUUCAUGGAUGUCUCAUUCACCCACCAAAUAAGCUACUUUCAUUUGUCUCUGGGGCUAUUUCUACAAAACCUCUGUAAAUGAUACUCUGAAGGGAUUGUUCAUGCUUUCUCUGUAUACUCUGAAGAACUUAUGCAAUGCACCCUA
This is a long non-coding RNA of Mastomys coucha (southern multimammate mouse), 569 nucleotides long. RefSeq lists it as uncharacterized. Lineage: Eukaryota; Metazoa; Chordata; Mammalia; Rodentia; Muridae. The transcript is spliced from 2 exons. The record is from RefSeq and is a predicted model, not a curated record.